RNAcentral lists this ribosomal RNA (860 nucleotides) under uncultured bacterium. RNAcentral's name for it is "bacterial SSU rRNA". It matches the Rfam family "Bacterial small subunit ribosomal RNA", at positions 8 to 848 of the family's 1533-position model. The record is from RNAcentral.
AGAGUUUGAUCAUGGCUCAGGACGAACGCUGGCGGCGUGCCUAAUACAUGCAAGUCGAGCGGACCGAAAGGAGAGCUCGCUCUCCUUUCGGUCAGCGGCGGACGGGUGAGUAACACGUGGGUAACCUGCCUGUAAGACCGGGAUAACUCGCGGAAACGCGAGCUAAUACCGGAUAGGUCCCGUGGCCGCAUGGCGACGGGAGGAAAGAUGGCGCGAGCUAUCGCUUACAGAUGGGCCCGCGGCGCAUUAGCUAGUUGGUGGGGUAACGGCCCACCAAGGCGACGAUGCGUAGCCGACCUGAGAGGGUGAUCGGCCACAUUGGGACUGAGACACGGCCCAAACUCCUACGGGAGGCAGCAGUAGGGAAUCUUCCGCAAUGGGCGAAAGCCUGACGGAGCAACGCCGCGUGAGCGAAGAAGGCCUUCGGGUCGUAAAGCUCUGUUGUCAGGGAAGAACAAGUACCGGAGUAACUGCCGGUACCUUGACGGUACCUGACCAGAAAGCCCCGGCUAACUACGUGCCAGCAGCCGCGGUAAUACGUAGGGGGCGAGCGUUGUCCGGAAUCAUUGGGCGUAAAGCGCGCGCAGGCGGUCCCUUAAGUCUGAUGUGAAAUCUUGCGGCUCAACCGCAAGAGGUCAUUGGAAACUGGGGGACUUGAGUGCAGGAGAGGGAAGCGGAAUUCCAUGUGUAGCGGUGAAAUGCGUAGAGAUAUGGAGGAACACCAGUGGCGAAGGCGGCUUCCUGGCCUGUAACUGACGCUCAGGCGCGAAAGCGUGGGGAGCAAACAGGAUUAGAUACCCUGGUAGUCCACGCCGUAAACGAUGAGUGCUAGUGUUGGAGGGGUUUACCCUUCAGUGCUG